GUCGAGCGAUGGAUUGAGAGCUUGCUCUCAUGAAGUUAGCGGCGGACGGGUGAGUAACACGUGGGUAACCUGCCCAUAAGACUGGGAUAACUCCGGGAAACCGGGGCUAAUACCGGAUAACAUUUUGAACUGCAUGGUUCGAAAUUGAAAGGCGGCUUCGGCUGUCACUUAUGGAUGGACCCGCGUCGCAUUAGCUAGUUGGUGAGGUAACGGCUCACCAAGGCAACGAUGCGUAGCCGACCUGAGAGGGUGAUCGGCCACACUGGGACUGAGACACGGCCCAGACUCCUACGGGAGGCAGCAGUAGGGAAUCUUCCGCAAUGGACGAAAGUCUGACGGAGCAACGCCGCGUGAGUGAUGAAGGCUUUCGGGUCGUAAAACUCUGUUGUUAGGGAAGAACAAGUGCUAGUUGAAUAAGCUGGCACCUUGACGGUACCUAACCAGAAAGCCACGGCUAACUACGUGCCAGCAGCCGCGGUAAUACGUAGGUGGCAAGCGUUAUCCGGAAUUAUUGGGCGUAAAGCGCGCGCAGGUGGUUUCUUAAGUCUGAUGUGAAAGCCCACGGCUCAACCGUGGAGGGUCAUUGGAAACUGGGAGACUUGAGUGCAGAAGAGGAAAGUGGAAUUCCAUGUGUAGCGGUGAAAUGCGUAGAGAU
This 655-nucleotide ribosomal RNA is filed under the name Bacillus sp. FJAT-4398. Its description in RNAcentral is "bacterial SSU rRNA". It matches the Rfam family "Bacterial small subunit ribosomal RNA", at positions 61 to 697 of the family's 1533-position model. The record is from RNAcentral. Lineage: Bacteria; Bacillati; Bacillota; Bacilli; Caryophanales; Bacillaceae.